This 469-nucleotide ribosomal RNA is filed under the name uncultured organism. Its description in RNAcentral is "partial 16S ribosomal RNA". It matches the Rfam family "Bacterial small subunit ribosomal RNA", at positions 334 to 799 of the family's 1533-position model. The record is from RNAcentral.
CACUCCUACGGGAGGCAGCAGUGAGGAAUAUUGGACAAUGGGUGGAAGCCUGAUCCAGCCAUCCCGCGUGCAGGAAGACGGCCCUAUGGGUUGUAAACUGCUUUUAUCUGGGGAUAAACCUACUUACGUGUAAGUAGCUGAAGGUACCAGAAGAAUAAGCACCGGCUAACUCCGUGCCAGCAGCCGCGGUAAUACGGAGGGUGCAAGCGUUAUCCGGAUUUAUUGGGUUUAAAGGGUCCGUAGGCGGACUGAUAAGUCAGUGGUGAAAUCCGACAGCUUAACUGUCGAACUGCCAUUGAUACUGUUAGUCUUGAGUAAGGUUGAAGUGGCUGGAAUAAGUAGUGUAGCGGUGAAAUGCAUAGAUAUUACUUAGAACACCAAUUGCGAAGGCAGGUCACUAAGUCUUAACUGACGCUGAUGGACGAAAGCGUGGGGAGCGAACAGGAUUAGAAACCCCGGUAGUCCCAUG